Alosa sapidissima (American shad) is the source of this 827-nucleotide long non-coding RNA. RefSeq lists it as uncharacterized. NCBI's taxonomy places the organism in Eukaryota, Metazoa, Chordata, Actinopteri, Clupeiformes, Clupeidae. The record is from RefSeq and is a predicted model, not a curated record. The transcript is spliced from 2 exons.
GUGUUUGGAUGAAGCAUCUGCUAAUCAUACACAUAGCUAACGGUAUAUGGACUCUACAGCCCAUUAUGAUGUGGUGAAGUAACUGUGCUGUGGCAGAGACUAGCGUGUGUGCUUUACAUGAGAGGUCAGGGGUUCAAGACUGAGUCGAUGGAUGUGAGGUGAGUAUGCCUGUGGAGUGGGGUUUGUGUUGUAUCUUGUCUGAUCACAAGCUAUGUUUAGCGGGUGUAUAAGUUAGGCUACUCUCAGUUAUUAUAUGAUCUUGAUAUUUGAACACAUGAAUUACGCUGAAUUAUGUUGGUACAAUGACAGAAUGCUGCUGUGAAGUUGAGUAGCCUCUCGCUUGGAGAACUUUAAGACCUCUGGGACUUAAGUGGGCAUGCAGAGUGCUGUGGUCAGUGUCAAAAUGUGACAUGAUUUUCACUGAUUUAACUUGUCCUUCAUGGCCCAGGUAUGGGUAGGCCUGUCAUGGGAGGCGGAAAAAUGGCCAGCAGGAAGGUGUGCAGCAGCCACCGGAAUGACCUCUUCCACCUCCUCCACUAACAGCUCCUCAUCAGCUGGCAGUGGGAUGUGAUCCUGAAGGGCCAUGUUGCAGAAGCGACGUCACCAAAACUACACUGCACGCCUUUGCAGGAUGGAGCUUCAGGCCACCAGCGGAUUUGCUCACACACCUUUCCACAUGCCCAGGGCCCUCUCCACAACAACGCGGGUCCGGCUAUGGGCGUUGUUGUACCGCGCCUCUGCCUCGCUAUUGGGCUCCUAGAUGGAGCAGUUGACAUGCUUGUAUUAUCAUAGGGGGUUGAUGGAAUAAAGUAGGUCUUGAAAUGUCA